Long non-coding RNA from Daucus carota subsp. sativus, 862 nucleotides. RefSeq lists it as uncharacterized. The transcript has 2 exons. Lineage: Eukaryota; Viridiplantae; Streptophyta; Magnoliopsida; Apiales; Apiaceae. The record is from RefSeq and is a predicted model, not a curated record.
UGUUAUCCUUAAUAAAAGUUCCCUAUUGUUCUUAAUUUCAAAAUUAGACUGGAUUAUAUCGUUUUCUUUAAUAGAAAAUUGAGGGCAUUUUAACAGCAAAGGGCCUCCGUAUAAUGGAGUAAUCACUUAGGAACAGUAUAAUUACAUAAAAUCCUGAGAAUGCGGAAGGAUGGUUGAAAUCUUGGCAGCUUUUAGCAAAUUUUCUGAAUAUUGUGGUGAAAGAAUACACUAUAGGGCAAAAAUUUUCCAGGGCAUAACUAAUAUAUCGGCACUGGCCAGAAAUAUAGGGCAAAAAUUGAAAUUUUAUUCAAACAUCUCAACACAACACAACAGAGGAAACAAAUACAAGGAUUCGCAUAGGACGAAGCACAUGGUGCAGACAAAACUUAGACUUAGACUUGGGAUGAUUUGAAGAGAGAAGUGGAUUCUCUUUCGACAGCUUUCAUGAGUAAACUAUUCUCUUCCAGGGCCAUUUGAACAGGCAAAAAUCCGAGACCAUCCGCCAUGGCAAGCAUCAUCUGCUUCAUCUCCGCCUUGAAUUCCUCCAUAUCAACACUGCCAUUGGAGUCAUGAUCAAACAGCAAGAACAGAUCAUCAUAAACGUGAGCAAGCUCAUCUGGAUCAGUUUUCACAUCAAUCCCGAAAUGAGUUUCCAGGACCCUGAGACUCUGCAGCUCUUUCAGCAUCUCUGCAUACGAUAAAACCCCGUUGUGAUCCGUGUCAAGAAGCACGAAACGCUCAUGAACAGAGCCGGUGAAUGCUUCAUCGUCUUCCACAAAGCUCACAAUAGUGGCACCAUCUAAAACAUGUACACUCAUUCUUAUAUUUCAGCUUGUGAUUUUACAGGUAAUGGAAAAGGAAA